RNAcentral lists this small nuclear RNA (27 nucleotides) under Arabidopsis thaliana (thale cress). Its description in RNAcentral is "snRNA_00420". Lineage: Eukaryota; Viridiplantae; Streptophyta; Magnoliopsida; Brassicales; Brassicaceae. The record is from RNAcentral.
GUUAAACAUGAUUUACAAUCGUUUUUU